AACAAAAAUGAACAUUUUAAAAUGAUUUUGUGUUGCGAGUUGUUUAAUUUAGGAAAAUUAUCGAUUUGAAUGCCAACCUCGGGUUUGGCCGUGACGUCAAGUAUCCCCCCCCCCACAGUCGGGGUCAGUGAACUCCACUUAGCUUUACGUUGUUUAUACACACGUUCACAUUUGUAUUUUCACGACCCUGACAUCCGUAUCCCAAACAUGUUACUUCGUCACACUUCAGAAAGACAAUGAUGGCAUAAAAUAAUAAGAAAAACGUGUACACAGCCUCGACCAAGAUGGCCAGUGAGCUCCACGAGACCAUCUUAAUGGCCAAGCAAGAGCGCCACAAGAAUCUCUUCCUCAAUUACAGGAAUCUCAACCAUUUUCCUGUGGAGCUGCUCAAAGACGAGGGCCUGCACUUCCUGGAGAGGCUCUACAUGAAGAGGAACUCACUCACCACACUGCCCGACAAUCUUGCACAGAAGCUACCGAAUCUAAUAGAACUGUAUUUGCAUUCAAACAACAUUGUGAUUAUUCCCGAAGCAAUUGGAAACUUGGCACGGCUGCAGUCGCUGGACCUGAGUAGCAACGCCCUGCUGCUGCUCUGCCCGGAGGUCGGACGACUGAGGUCUCUGAGACACCUCAGACUGUCCAACAACCAGCUCAAAAGUCUGCCGCCAGAGAUUGGCGACCUUCAGUUCCUGGAGACUCUGGAUGUGUCUGUGAACCAGCUGGUGUCGCUCCCCAACCGGCUGCACCGCUGCUCGUCCCUGCAGUACCUGAGCGCCGACCACAACCUGCUGAGCCACGUGCCACGCCACCUCUGCCGGCUGACCCGCCUCACCCAGCUCUCCAUGGCAGCCAACCGCCUCACCUUCCUGCCGCUAGAUCUGGGAGGAUCGCGCGAGCUGCAGUUUGUGUUUGUGGACAACAAUUUGGACCUGAAAGGCCUACCCUCAUACUUGUACAACAAGGUCAUCGGAUGUAACGGGUGUGGCAUGUCUCCACAGGGUGGCAUGGCAUGCCAGGAAAGCCAGGAUGAGGCACUUAGCGAGGCUCUGUUAGGGCUGCCAGCCGAAGUCAAAGCGGUGGCCUCUGAGGCGGACAACGUGGUCCCGCUGGAGGAGCUCGCCAUGAGAAUGCUGCACCAACUCUACCAUCAACAACACAUCAACCCCACAGAUGUGAACAUCCCGCCUACCAUCCCGCUGCCAAAGAGUCUCCUGGAUCUACUGCAAUUCCCACUAGGUCACUGCCACCGCUGCACUCAAGCCAUGUUCACCGUCAUCUACCCCAAGCUCUUCCCACUGCGACACACUGCCCUGGCAGGAGUGCACCGCAGGACCACAGUCAGUUUUGUGGCGUACUGCUGCUCCAGCCGCUGCCUUCGGACAUUUAACCUACAAGGCUGACGUUGUUGCCUCACACUUUAGCGCCGCUGUGUUGACAGUGAUGACUGUUUUGCAACUCAGACAAUGGGCGUGGGACUAUGUGAUUGCUGAAUAACGCUUUUAACAAAGACGUGAAAUUAACAAGCACUUUAAAACUUCUCUUUUUUUGGGGGAGGCGAAAAUAUUUUGACAGAAGGCACAUCAUCAUGGAUUUGUUGACGCAUCUUUGAUGUAAACUUUCAACCUCUGGCCCUUUUGCCAGUAAACAUUAGAUGAACUUUCAGUGUUUCUUCUGCUUGCUCCAAGUCUGCUGUCUGUGCAAAACUGUUUUCCAUCAAUGUACAUUUAUUAGAGAUCCUUGAAAUCCAAUUUAAGAUACAUGUACUAGUAAGAAAAACAACUGUCUUUUUAUCGGAACGUUUUUUUCCACAACUGCCUUCCACUACUGUAUGACCUUUCUGCACAAGUUUGUCAAACAGGUAGGACAUGUUACUAGUGAGCACAACUGCACUAAUUGACAUCUCUGCUCCAAAUGUGUCCUACUAUUGAGGACGAAGACCAUACUAGUACAUGGACUUUAAGGUGGGCAUGAAGGAUAUGGAAUACUGUAAAUGCUCAAACGGCUCCCCAUAGCUGUCUUUGGCGUUGUCCAGAUGUCCCUGUUGUUACCAGUAAUGUCCACUUCCUACAAGGUCUCUGCACAAAUAGUUGGGUCGCGGGGGCAGCUGCUUUCAUAGGGAAUCCCAGACUUGCCUCUCUCCAGCCACUUGGUCCAGCUCUUCCGGGGAGGAUCCUGAGGUGUUCCCAGGCCAACUGGAAGAAAUAAUCUCCAUCUUCCUCUCCCUGAUGGGACAUGCUGGGAACUCGUCACUAGGGAGGCGUCCAGGGCCAAACCAGAUGCCCGAGCCAUCUCAUCUGGCACCUCAUUGUGUCUCUCAAUGCGGAGUAGCAGCAGAGCCCCUUCUGGAUUACCGAGGUGCUCACCCCAUCUCUAAGGGAGAGGAAACUCAUUUCGCCCACUUCCGUAUCUGUGAUCCUGAUCCUGAGGUCACCACACACAGCUUGUGACCAUAGGUGAAGGCAGGAACGUAGGCCGACCGGUAAAUCGACUGGUAAAUACCGCUUUACUACGACCGACCGAUACAGACUCCACAUCACUGCAGACAGUUCACCAAUCCGGCUGUCUAUCUCCUGCGCCAUUCUUCCCUCACACGUGAACUUCUGUCCCAGUCCGCAUGAACAAGGAACUAUUGAAUUCAUUAAAAUCACAGAAACUAUGGGAUAAUGUAAUAAAAGAAUAUAGACUAUAUUUUGUCAUAAAGUCCCAAUAAUGAGGCCACCAUACCAGAACACCUCAAUGCCUCGGCUGUGAAAGUCUGUCCAUAAAGGUUAUGAACCGAAGCACAUACCUCGAGUCGAAAGUUUCCAAUGUGGAUAAAUCACGAAAUCUGAAUGAACAAUGCCCAUUUUUAAUACAUAUAUUAAGUGUAUUUUUUAAAUGGCAUUCCAUUACAUGUUUGCCUGUGGUGGUUUUUUGGAGCGUGUGUGAGUCAAUGCCUUUGACAGGAUGGUGUGCUUGUGCUCGUGCGUGUGUGUGUGUGUGUGUUAAUACAUCAUGCAACAGCCAAGUAAUUUCCUGCCUGUAGGUCACGCUGGCUGGCUGGGUGGGGGCGACGCUGCUCAGCCUGCUGGAGAUAACAUGCUGUGAAAUGUCAUGUCAUGACACAAAAAUGAACAUUUGGAAGGGUUGUUUGUCUACAAGUUAGCUUUUCACAGUAUUUAAAAAUAUGGAUGUUAUUUCUUGGAUGUGGAGUUGUGUUCCCUGCAAAAAUGUGUUGCGUUUGUCCCCGAAAAGAAGCAGGCUGGCGACGACGACGAGGAGAUGAGCAGUCAGAUGUGUGAAGUGAUGUUACCGACGGCCGCAAAGUGACAGGCGGCAGUGGGAACAUGAUCGACAGCUCAAUUCAUCCUCCGGCCCCCACUCCAACAUGGCAUCCGUGUGCCACGUCACUUCUCCUUUUAUUACAUUUUAAGAUAUUUUUCAUCUCAUUUCAUUUUUUUCUUCAUAACCUCCUUCUUAGUGUUUUCCUCCCUGAGUCUAAAUUUGUUUAUUCUCUCACCCAUACAUCUAUCCUUCGCUUAAAUCUCCUUUUCUGUCUUCCUUUAUUCCUCCUCCCUUCCUCCUCAGACCUGCUUUUAUUCUACUUUCCUUUCUGACCUCCAAACCAGCUUUUUUUCCAAACAUAUUUGUUUUCCUUCCUUUAUUCCUUAACUGCUUUUUAUUCUUGCAUUCUUCCUUUGCUGAAACCUACGUUUCUGCCAUCCUCUCUGACCUUUUUCAUUACCUCCUUCCUUCCCAUCAGUUUGGAACAUUCCGUAGAGGAACAGGUUAAUUGAAAACAGGUGAGUGUCAUGAUUGGGUGUAAAAGGAGCAUCCCCAAAAGACUCAGUUGUUCACAAGCAAGGAUGGCGAGGUUCACCACUUUGUGAACAACUGUGUGAGAGCAAAUAGUCCUACAGUUUAAGAAGAAUGUUUCUCAAGGUAAAUUUGCAAGGAAUAAGGGAUUUCAUCAUCUCCGGUCCAUAAGCGGCAAGGCCGAAAACCAACAGUGAGUGAUUCAUAGACUUUCGAUCCCUCAGUGGGCACUACAUUAAAAGCCGGCAUCAUUGUGUAAAGGAUAUUGCCACGUGGCCUCGGGAGCACUUCAGAAAACCAUUGUCAGGUAACAAGGUUGCUACAUCGAGAAAUGUAAGUUCAAAUUCUAGCAUGCAAAGUGAAAGCCAUAUAUCAACAACACCCCAGAAACGCUGCCAUCUUCUCUGGGCCCGAGCUCAUCUGAGAUGGACUGAAGUGGAAAACUGUUCUGUGGUCUGACGAGUCCACAUUUUGAAUUGUUUUUGGAAAUCAUGGAUGUCAUGUCCUCCGGGCCAAAGAGGACCAAUCCAGUUCAAAAGUCAGCAUCUUUGAUGGUAUGGAGGUGUGUCAAUGCCCAUGGCAUGGGUAACUUGCACAUCUGUGGAGGUACCAUUAAUACUAAAAGAUACAUACAGGUUUUGGAGCAACAUACUGUAUGCUGCCAUCCAAGCAAAAGUCUUUUUCAGGGAUUUCCCUGCUUAAUUCAGCAAGGCAAUGCCAAGCCACAUUGUGGAUGUGUUUUAACAGUGUGGCUUUGUAGUAAAAGAGUGCUAGUACUAGAUUGGCAUGCCAACAGUCCAGACCUGUUGCCCUUGAAAAUGUUUAGCGCAUUAUGAAGCGCAAAAUAUGACAACUGAGACACCGGCCUGUUGAGCAACUGAAGUUGUACAUCAAGCAAGAUUGGGAAAGAAUUCCACCUACAAAGCUUCAACAGUUAGUGUGCGCAGUUCCCAAAUGUUUACUGAGUGUUGUUAAAAAGAAAGAUGAUGUAACACAGGGAUAAACUUGCCCUUCUCCCAACUUUUUGGGAACGUGUUGCAGGCAUCAAAUUCAAAAUGAGUGAAUAUUUGCAACAAUAAAAAAAAAAGUGUAUCAGUUCGAACAUUAAAUAUUUUGUCUUUGUAGUUUGCAAACCAUAGUAUUUAAUCGUGAUUUAUGGUUUACACAAGGUCCCAGCUUCAUUGGAAUUGGGGUUUGUACUUUUUCUACCUUCUGUCUCUUCUUUUGGACCUCCUUCGUGCCUUCCACCCCCUCAGACCUGCUUUUCUUCCCAACGUCCAACCUUUUCACUUUCCUUCCCGCCUUUCUACCUACCCGAUUUUUAUUCAUGCAUCCUUACAUCGGUCCUUACUUUGCUUAAACCUCCUGUUGCUUCAUUCCUUCCUGCCUUCCUUUUUGCCUUCCUUCCACCUCAGAAUAGCGUUUUUCUUCUUUCCUUCCUGACCUCCUUCUUUCAAACCCUCUUUUUUGCAUCCCACCCCUUUUCUUGAAAGUACUCUUCUAUGCCCCCCUCCUUACAUUUUGAUCUCUUUUAUGCCCUUCCUUCCAUCACCCCCAAUUUCAUUCAAAAUUGGAACAUAAGCCCUCAAUCAUCAGUAAUAUGCUGGUCUGGACAUGUGAAGGCAGGAUGGUGCCUACUUAGCUCAGCUGGUACAGCCACUCAUCCACUGAUCAACCAGUUGGUGGUUUGAAUACAAGAGAUAACUAUUUAACAGUAUUUUGCAAUUAUAAAAUACAGUAAGAUACUCUUGAAAUCCACUGUUCAUUAAAAACGCUGUUUUAUGCUGUUAAAUUAGUUAUUUACUGUUAUUAUUACUGCUGUUAUUUUAAAAAUUAUUAUAAAAUACAGUAACAUACUGUUGUAAAUUCACCGUGAAUUAAUAGCAAUUUGUUUGUGUGUCCAAUACUGCUUUAGAAUCCACUUUCUUUGUUCUUGACUCAAAUUAUUUGCCAUUAAUCACUGUGCCUGUUAAAUAAAAUAAAGUAGGUUAAUAUAAUAAGCACUGUAUAUGCCAACUUUUGUCCGACUCUAUAUUUUGAGCAUUUUGUGGAUUUGUAUGUAAUUCAAUGCAGCAUACAACUAUUUACUUUAGUAGCACAUUAAUAAUCUUCACUUCAUCAUCUGUUUUCAUGAUAUACGUGCAUAUAUAUCAUCAAAGUGAAUUUUUAAAUUAUAAUAGAAUUAUGGUAAUAACAGUGUAUGUUUUAUCCUCUGGGCUGUAUUUUUAUCUACUUUAUUUUAUUUCACCCUGUUUUUUG
This is an RNA transcript of Phyllopteryx taeniolatus (common seadragon), 6054 nucleotides long. It is a transcript of the gene named leucine rich repeat containing 28, with no coding region annotated. The transcript has 11 exons. The record is from RefSeq and is a predicted model, not a curated record. NCBI's taxonomy places the organism in Eukaryota, Metazoa, Chordata, Actinopteri, Syngnathiformes, Syngnathidae.